GUGAGGAAUAUUGGACAAUGGGGGGAACCCUGAUCCAGCCAUGCCGCGUGUGUGAAGAAGGCCUUUUGGUUGUAAAGCACUUUAAGCGAGGAGGAGGCUACCGAGAUUAAUACUCUUGGAUAGUGGACGUUACUCGCAGAAUAAGCACCGGCUAACUCUGUGCCAGCAGCCGCGGUAAUACAGAGGGUGCAAGCGUUAAUCGGAUUUACUGGGCGUAAAGCGCGCGUAGGUGGCCAAUUAAGUCAAAUGUGAAAGCCCCGAGCUUAACUUGGGAAUUGCAUUCGAUACUGGUUGGCUAGAGUAUGGGAGAGGAUGGUAGAAUUCCAGGUGUAGCGGUGAAAUGCGUAGAGAUCUGGAGGAAUACCGAUGGCGAAGGCAGCCAUCUGGCCUAAUACUGACACUGAGGUGCGAAAGCAUGGGGAGCAAACAGGAUUAGAUACCCCUGUAGUCC
RNAcentral lists this ribosomal RNA (451 nucleotides) under uncultured bacterium. RNAcentral describes it as "bacterial SSU rRNA". It matches the Rfam family "Bacterial small subunit ribosomal RNA", at positions 354 to 796 of the family's 1533-position model. The record is from RNAcentral.